UUCAACACUGACCCUCUAAGCUUUCGCUUCUCAUCCCUAACCAAUGCCUCACUAACUCAUUUUAUCUUAAACUAUUAACCACAGAGAUGGCUUGGAAGUAAAGCUAUUUAUGCUACGAUUAGCUAGAAGGGGGAAUGUACAAUUGGCACCCAAGAUGAGAACAGGUUUGAUGUGUAACAGGUAGAACUAGUUGAAGAAACUUACCUGCUGAAGGUCUGCGAGAGAAUAAAGAUGGAUUUGCUGGAGAAGAUACUCUCUGGGAAAAAUCCUGGAAAAGAGAAAAAUGGAUGUGUCACACCUUUUUGUCCAUGGAACUCAAAAGAUUUCCUCUCCUCACCAAAAGACUGCAGAACAAUAAUGCUAGAGAGACAAAGCUUGUCAAAAACUGGAAUUAUGUCAUCCUGUAAACACCAGCGACUUUUACAGCAUUCCUCAUGGGCACAGCAAUUCCACAACAAGAAUGAAUGCUGUACCAGUGUCAUUCUCCAACUGUCAGGAAAUAGCCUGAAUAGCCCAUAAGGCAGAAACUGUCAACGACCGAUAUAGAUGACUAACAUCACGUUUCCCUGCCGCCUUCAAGGACUGCAUUUUAUUUCCUGCAAGUUCUAACCCCUAAUAAAAAGUGUGCAGAUGAAAAGCAAA
Neopsephotus bourkii (Bourke's parrot) is the source of this 642-nucleotide long non-coding RNA. RefSeq lists it as uncharacterized. Lineage: Eukaryota; Metazoa; Chordata; Aves; Psittaciformes; Psittacidae. The record is from RefSeq and is a predicted model, not a curated record. The transcript is spliced from 3 exons.